This 253-nucleotide ribosomal RNA is filed under the name uncultured bacterium. Its description in RNAcentral is "partial 16S ribosomal RNA". It matches the Rfam family "Bacterial small subunit ribosomal RNA", at positions 524 to 776 of the family's 1533-position model. The record is from RNAcentral.
UACGUAGGGUGCGAGCGUUGUCCGGAAUUAUUGGGCGUAAAGAGCUCGUAGGCGGCUUGUCGCGUCGGAUGUGAAAGCCCGGGGCUUAACCCCGGGCUUGCAGUGGAUACGGGCAGGCUGGAGGCAGGCAGGGGAGAACGGAAUUCCCGGUGUAGCGGUGAAAUGCGCAGAUAUCGGGAGGAACACCGGUGGCGAAGGCAGCUCUCUGGGCCGAUACUGACGCUGAGGAGCGAAAGCGUGGGGAGCGAACAGG